GCGGGGAUAGCUCAGCUGGGAGAGCGUCAGACUGAAGUCCAACUUCAUUCUUAUAUCUGAAGGCCGUGUGUUCGAUCCACACUCACCGCA
This 90-nucleotide transfer RNA is filed under the name Daldinia caldariorum. RNAcentral's name for it is "tRNA-Phe". It matches the Rfam family "tRNA". From Rfam's summary of the family: Transfer RNA (tRNA) molecules are approximately 80 nucleotides in length. Their secondary structure includes four short double-helical elements and three loops (D, anti-codon, and T loops). Lineage: Eukaryota; Fungi; Ascomycota; Sordariomycetes; Xylariales; Hypoxylaceae. The record is from RNAcentral.